This 23-nucleotide non-coding RNA is filed under the name Cricetulus griseus (Chinese hamster). Lineage: Eukaryota; Metazoa; Chordata; Mammalia; Rodentia; Cricetidae. The record is from RNAcentral.
UGGGCGUGUUGGAAACCUUGGUA